This 1315-nucleotide ribosomal RNA is filed under the name metagenome. RNAcentral's name for it is "bacterial SSU rRNA". It matches the Rfam family "Bacterial small subunit ribosomal RNA", at positions 86 to 1436 of the family's 1533-position model. The record is from RNAcentral.
UUGGGGUUAGUGGCGGACGGGUGAGUAACGCGUGGGAAUCUGCCCUCAGGAGGGGGAUAACGGCUGGAAACGGCCGCUAAUACCCCAUAUGCCGAGAGGUGAAAAGAAAUUCGCCUGAGGAUGAGCCCGCGUCUGAUUAGCUAGUUGGUGGGGUAAGAGCUCACCAAGGCGACGAUCAGUAGCUGGUCUGAGAGGAUGAUCAGCCACACUGGGACUGAGACACGGCCCAGACUCCUACGGGAGGCAGCAGUGGGGAAUUUUCCGCAAUGGGCGAAAGCCUGACGGAGCAACGCCGCGUGAGGGAUGAAGGCCUCUGGGCUGUAAACCUCUUUUCUCAAGGAAGAAGACAUGACGGUACUUGAGGAAUAAGCCACGGCUAAUUCCGUGCCAGCAGCCGCGGUAAUACGGGAGUGGCAAGCGUUAUCCGGAAUUAUUGGGCGUAAAGCGUCCGCAGGCGGCCCUGUAAGUCUGUCGUUAAAGCGUGGAGCUUAACUCCAUUUAAGCGAUGGAAACUACAGGGCUUGAGUGUGGUAGGGGCAGAGGGAAUUCCCGGUGUAGCGGUGAAAUGCGUAGAUAUCGGGAAGAACACCAGUGGCGAAGGCGCUCUGCUGGGCCAUAACUGACGCUCAUGGACGAAAGCCAGGGGAGCGAAAGGGAUUAGAUACCCCUGUAGUCCUGGCCGUAAACGAUGAACACUAGGUGUCGGGGGAAUCGACCCCCUCGGUGUCGUAGCCAACGCGUUAAGUGUUCCGCCUGGGGAGUACGCACGCAAGUGUGAAACUCAAAGGAAUUGACGGGGGCCCGCACAAGCGGUGGAGUAUGUGGUUUAAUUCGAUGCAACGCGAAGAACCUUACCAGGGUUUGACAUCCUGCGAAUCCCUUGGAAACGAGGGAGUGCCUUCGGGAGCGCAGAGACAGGUGGUGCAUGGCUGUCGUCAGCUCGUGUCGUGAGAUGUUGGGUUAAGUCCCGCAACGAGCGCAACCCACGUCUUUAGUUGCCAGCAUUCAGUUGGGCACUCUAGAGAGACCGCCGGUGAUAAACCGGAGGAAGGUGUGGAUGACGUCAAGUCAUCAUGCCCCUUACAUCCUGGGCUACACACGUACUACAAUGCUACGGACAAAGGGCAGCAAGCUCGCGAGAGUUAGCAAAUCCCAUAAACCGUGGCUCAGUUCAGAUCGUAGGCUGCAACUCGCCUACGUGAAGGAGGAAUCGCUAGUAAUCGCAGGUCAGCAUACUGCGGUGAAUACGUUCCCGGGCCUUGUACACACCGCCCGUCACACCAUGGAAGUUGGCCAUGCCCGAAGUCGUUACUCC